UCGGAAUUACUGGGCGUAAAGCGCAUGCAGGCGGCCGCGUUAAGUCAGAUGUGAAAGACCGGGGCGUUAACCUCCGGAAAUUGCAUUUGAAACUAGGCAGGCAGAGUCUUGUAGAGGGGGGUAGGGAAGUUUCAGGUGUAGCGGUGGAAAUAGCGUAGAGAUCUGAAGGAAUACCAGUGGCGAAGGCGGCCCCUCGGACAAAGACUGACGCUCAGAUGCGAAAGCGUGGGGAGCAAACAGGAUUAGAUACCCUGGUAG
RNAcentral lists this ribosomal RNA (258 nucleotides) under uncultured bacterium. RNAcentral describes it as "partial 16S ribosomal RNA". It matches the Rfam family "Bacterial small subunit ribosomal RNA", at positions 545 to 793 of the family's 1533-position model. The record is from RNAcentral.